Molecule: ribosomal RNA, 548 nt
Filed under: Babesia occultans
Lineage: Eukaryota; Apicomplexa; Aconoidasida; Piroplasmida; Babesiidae
Description: SSU rRNA
Rfam family: Eukaryotic small subunit ribosomal RNA
Source: RNAcentral
UGUCUUGUAAUUGGAAUGAUGGUGACUUAAACCCUCACCAGAGUACCAAUUGGAGGGCAAGUCUGGUGCCAGCAGCCGCGGUAAUUCCAGCUCCAAUAGCGUAUAUUAAACUUGUUGCAGUUAAAAAGCUCGUAGUUGAAUUUCAGCGUUUCGCGUGUGCCUCUUUUGGCCCAUCUCGUCUCGCUUUUUUUAUUACUUUGAGAAAAUUAGAGUGUUUCAAGCAGGCUUUUGUCUUGAAUACUUGAGCAUGGAAUAAUAGAGUAGGACCUUGGUUCUAUUUUGUUGGUUUUGUUACCUUGGUAAUGGUUAAUAGGAACGGUUGGGGGCAUUCGUAUUUAACUGUCAGAGGUGAAAUUCUUAGAUUUGUUAAAGACGAACUACUGCGAAAGCAUUUGCCAAGGACGUUUCCAUUAAUCAAGAACGAAAGUUAGGGGAUCGAAGACGAUCAGAUACCGUCGUAGUCCUAACCAUAAACUAUGCCGACUAGGGAUUGGAGGUCGUCAUUUUUCCGACUCCUUCAGCACCUUGAGAGAAAUCAAGGUCUUUGG